GACGAACGCUGGCGGCGUGCCUAAUACAUGCAAGUAGAACGCUGAAGAGAGGAGCUUGCUCUUCUUGGAUGAGUUGCGAACGGGUGAGUAACGCGUAGGUAACCUGCCUUGUAGCGGGGGAUAACUAUUGGAAACGAUAGCUAAUACCGCAUAACAAUGGAUGACACAUGUCAUUUAUUUGAAAGGGGCAAUUGCUCCACUACAAGAUGGACCUGCGUUGUAUUAGCUAGUAGGUGAGGUAAUGGCUCACCUAGGCGACGAUACAUAGCCGACCUGAGAGGGUGAUCGGCCACACUGGGACUGAGACACGGCCCAGACUCCUACGGGAGGCAGCAGUAGGGAAUCUUCGGCAAUGGGGGCAACCCUGACCGAGCAACGCCGCGUGAGUGAAGAAGAGUUUCGGAUCGUAAAGCUCUGUUGUAAGUCAAGAACGGGUGUGAGAGUGGAAAGUUCACACUGUGACGGUAGCUUACCAGAAAGGGACGGCUAACUACGUG
RNAcentral lists this ribosomal RNA (497 nucleotides) under uncultured bacterium. RNAcentral's name for it is "partial 16S ribosomal RNA". It matches the Rfam family "Bacterial small subunit ribosomal RNA", at positions 28 to 507 of the family's 1533-position model. The record is from RNAcentral.